GGUCUUAGUGAUCCGGUGGUUCUGAAUGGAAGGGCCAUCGCUCAACGGAUAAAAGGUACUCCGGGGAUAACAGGCUGAUACCGCCCAAGAGUUCAUAUCGACAUACCGCCCAACCUCGAUGUCGGCUCAUCACAUCCUGGGGCUGAAGUAGGUCCCAAGGGUACGGCUGUUCGCCGUUUAAAGUGGUACGCGAGCUGGGUUUAGAACGUCGUGAGACAGUUCGGUCCCUAUCUGCCGUGGGCGUUGGAAGAUUGAAAGGGGCUGCUCCUAGUACGAGAGGACCGGAGUGGACGCACCACUGGUGUUCGGGUUGUCAUGCCAAUGGCAUUGCCCGGUAGCUAAGUGCGGAAGAGAUAACCGCUGAAAGCAUCUAAGCGGGAAACUUGCCUUGAGAUGAGUCUUCCCUGACCCUUUAAGGGUCCUAAAGGAACGUUUAAGACUAAGACGUUGAUAGGUUGGGUGUGUAAGCGUAGCGAUACGUUGAGCUAACCAAUACUAAUGAACCGUGAGGCUUAACCUG
This 520-nucleotide ribosomal RNA is filed under the name Providencia rettgeri. Its description in RNAcentral is "partial 23S ribosomal RNA". It matches the Rfam family "Bacterial large subunit ribosomal RNA", at positions 2408 to 2925 of the family's 2925-position model. The record is from RNAcentral. Lineage: Bacteria; Pseudomonadati; Pseudomonadota; Gammaproteobacteria; Enterobacterales; Morganellaceae.